AACGAACGCUGGCGGCAGGCUUAACACAUGCAAGUCGAGCGCCCCGCAAGGGGAGCGGCAGACGGGUGAGUAACGCGUGGGAACGUACCUUUUGGUUCGGAACAACUCCGGGAAACUGGAGCUAAUACCGGAUAAGCCCUAACGGGGAAAGAUUUAUCGCCGAAAGAUCGGCCCGCGUCUGAUUAGCUAGUUGGUGAGGUAACGGCUCACCAAGGCGACGAUCAGUAGCUGGUCUGAGAGGAGGAUCAGCCACACUGGGACUGGGACACGGCCCAGACUCCUACGGGAGGCAGCAGUGGGGAAUAUUGGACAAUGGGCGCAAGCCUGAUCCAGCCAUGCCGCGUGAGUGAUGAAGGCCUUAGGGUUGUAAAGCUCUUUUGUCCGGGAAGAUAAUGACUGUACCGGAAGAAUAAGCCCCGGCUAACUUCGUG
RNAcentral lists this ribosomal RNA (431 nucleotides) under uncultured bacterium. RNAcentral's name for it is "partial 16S ribosomal RNA". It matches the Rfam family "Bacterial small subunit ribosomal RNA", at positions 29 to 507 of the family's 1533-position model. The record is from RNAcentral.